ACACUCCUGCGGGAGGCAGCAGUGGGGAAUAUUGCACAAUGGGCGCAAGCCUGAUGCAGCGACGCCGCGUGGGGGAUGAAGGCCUUCGGGUUGUAAACUCCUUUCGCUAGGGACGAAGCUUUUUUGUGACGGUACCUAGAUAAGAAGCACCGGCUAACUACGUGCCAGCAGCCGCGGUAAUACGUAGGGUGCGAGCGUUGUCCGGAAUUACUGGGCGUAAAGGGCUCGUAGGUGGUUUGUCGCGUCGUCUGUGAAAUUCUGGGGCUUAACUCCGGGCGUGCAGGCGAUACGGGCAUAACUUGAGUGCUGUAGGGGUAACUGGAAUUCCUGGUGUAGCGGUGAAAUGCGCAGAUAUCAGGAGGAACACCGAUGGCGAAGGCAGGUUACUGGGCAGUUACUGACGCUGAGGAGCGAAAGCAUGGGUAGCGAACAGGAUUAGAUACCCUUGUAGCCCAUGA
Molecule: ribosomal RNA, 458 nt
Filed under: uncultured organism
Description: partial 16S ribosomal RNA
Rfam family: Bacterial small subunit ribosomal RNA
Source: RNAcentral